UCGAGAAUAUUUGUCAAUGUACGAAAGUAUGAACAUGCGACGCCGCGUGGAGGAUGAAGGCCUUCGGGUUGUAAACUCCUGUCAUGAGGGAAUAAAUGCAUGCUGGCUAAUACCCGGCAUGUUUGACAGUACCUCAAGAGGAAGUCACGGCUAACUCUGUGCCAGCAGCCGCGGUAAUACAGAGGUGGCAAGUGUUGUUCGGAUUUACUGGGCGUAAAGGGUUCGCAGGCGGCUUUGUGUGUCAGAUGUGAAAGCCCACGGCUUAACCGUGGAAAUGCAUUUGAAACUACAGGGCUAGAGUACGGGAGAGGAGAGGGGAAUUCAUGGUGUAGCGGUGAAAUGCGUAGAUAUCAUGAAGAACACCGGUGGCGAAAGCGCCUCUCUGGACCGAUACUGACGCUCAUGAACGAAAGCCAGGGGAGCAAAGA
RNAcentral lists this ribosomal RNA (428 nucleotides) under uncultured prokaryote. Its description in RNAcentral is "bacterial SSU rRNA". It matches the Rfam family "Bacterial small subunit ribosomal RNA", at positions 355 to 774 of the family's 1533-position model. The record is from RNAcentral.